UUUUGAAGUGAAAAUAGCGCAGACGUUUGUAUAUCAGGUUGUGAAAACAAAACCUAGCCAAUGGGUUCCGCAGUCUUAAAGGAUUUGAAAUGAAUUGAACUCAAACUCAAGGACCAGGAGGGCACAUGUAAGAAACCAAAUACAAGCCCUGCUAUCAUACAACAGAGACGAACCUAUCCUCUUACAUUUACAAGAGCACCUAAUAAAAUGACAAACUAUACCUGCUAAAACCCAAAAAUUAGAACAAACAUAAAACGAAUUGAACUGCAAAAGGCAGUAAUAGCAUAGAUAUCAAAAUUGAUGCUUUUUUUUUUUAUUUCAAUAAAUGCAGCUGCGGAACUGGCCUUUAUCACUUCUAAUAAAACUUCUCCACCACUCUAUGCUGCUUCUCUGUAUGAAGUGCACGCUUGUACCCCCCAGCUAGAAAAUGCUCAUCUAGUCUUCUUGGCUUUGGCCAAUUUCUUCGUUCUUUUCUUUACAGCCUUCGGAAUUUUAGUUUUCCGAGCUUCUCUCUUCUCUUCUGUAACUUUCUUUUUGUUCUCUUUUCUGGCAGUUUUUUUAUCAAGAGGAUCCUUUUUCUCAACUUCUGACAAGGAACCACUCUCAUCUGACUCACUCGAGUUCUCUUCAUCAUCUGUCUCAGAAUCAGAUCCACUCUCAGGAGCAUUAGAAUGGCCAUCCUCAUUUACGGAAGACUCCUUUUGAUCGUUUUCGAUUGCAGAAGAUUGAACUUUGGAAAGAGCCUCCUUUAGUCCUGUAAUGGUGUGAUAGUACAUAACUUUCGUAUUCUUGCCGCUUGUUAUCCGUAUUACAUCCUCCUCAGCAUUCUUGACAUGAUCUAAUGUCUUUGGAAUAUAUGACUGCACAAAUACAGAGUCUGCAAUUUCAUCCUCUGCUGUGACAUCUCUUGAUAAAAUUUUUUGUAGAACCUCUUCCAAGUAACUAUCAAUAGAAUCAUCAGUAAUGGUUGGAUCAACUAUGAAGUCAAAUAAUUCUCGAAUCGUCAUGACAGCUACACCAUGUUUCCUAAAAAAAUCAGAUAUAUGAACACAAUCUUCACGUAAGAAAUCAAAGGCACGAGGAUGGUCAAGAUCUACUGCUUGAGAGACAUCAAUUACAUACAAAUGGCCCUACAAACAGGAGGAACUAUUCAGAUCAAAUAUCCAGAGUUAUGCCUGUGAUCAAUCAAACAUCCCCAGUCAACAACUCUUCUCAAAAAGGAGGUUUCAUAUAUCAUCUUUCCUCUUUUUGGGUGCAUCAAAACCACGCAGAAGGAAAACAUGUUAUCUGUAUGGUAAGGAAGCAAGAGACAUUCACCUCAAAAUAGAGUAUAUUAUAUUCACUAAGGUCACCAUGCACCAGUUUGCACUUCUGAUACAAAGUCCGCAUUGCAAUAAUCAUCUGACAAAGACAAAAAACAAAGUCCUUACAAACAAAAAAAACAACUGUUAAACCCUUUCUUCUUUUCUCCAUAUAACAUUCUAUUGGGCGCAUAGCUGAUACUCCAUUGACCCUAUCAUUUCCAACAGAAAUCUCCUGUUAAACCCCUCCAACCUGAUCAAACCAAAUUAUAAACCCCAAAGGCUAAAUAUGUAUCAACAAGUUCAACUUGAAAAGCUAAGUUUCUAUAACACUACUAAUUAUAAAUUCUAUAGUUGUUUUAUUCAAAUUAAACAAAAUAAAUGAAUUACUAAAAAUGUCUGUACAGACCUCUGCAUAACCUUCACGUAAUUUAUCCAAAGAUAAGGCAGCAUCCUUAAGUCGAGGUGCAGCCCAACCAUCUUUUCCUAUAAUAAAGAUUAUCAACCAAAAGAAUAGGUCAAUAGUAUAACAAAAUCAAAACUCCUCAUUGCAUAUAAAAGUGUGUAAGUGUGUGUGUGUGUGUGUG
Molecule: unclassified non-coding RNA, 1888 nt
Filed under: Hevea brasiliensis (rubber tree)
Lineage: Eukaryota; Viridiplantae; Streptophyta; Magnoliopsida; Malpighiales; Euphorbiaceae
Source: RNAcentral